This 449-nucleotide ribosomal RNA is filed under the name uncultured bacterium. RNAcentral describes it as "partial 16S ribosomal RNA". It matches the Rfam family "Bacterial small subunit ribosomal RNA", at positions 29 to 523 of the family's 1533-position model. The record is from RNAcentral.
AAUGAACGCUGGCGGCAGGCCUAACACAUGCAAGUCGAACGGAUCCUUCGGGUUUAGUGGCGGACGGGUGAGUAACGCGUGGGAACAUACCCAAAGGUACGGAAUAGCCUCGGGAAACUGGGAGUAAUACCGUAUGUGCUCGAAAGAGGAAAGAUUUAUCGCCUUUGGAUUGGCCCGCGUUGGAUUAGGUAGUUGGUGGGGUAAUGGCCUACCAAGCCGACGAUCCAUAGCUGGUUUGAGGGGAUGAUCAGCCACACUGGGACUGAGACACGGCCCAGACUCCUACGGGAGGCAGCAGUGGGGAAUUUUAGACAAUGGGGGAAACCCUGAUCUAGCCAUGCCGCGUGAUCGAUGAAGGCCUUAGGGUUGUAAAGAUCUUUCAGGUGGGAAGAUAAUGACUGUACCACCAGAAGAAGCCCCGGCUAACUCCGUGCCAGCCGCCGCGGUAA